AGAGCUGAGUUGACUUCAGAGUAGAAAAGCUGAGCUCAGCAACACACACUCAGAUGCUCCUUGCCUCUUUGGCUUCUCAGAUUAUGCUCCCCCAGUGCCGGGGAUACAAAUAUGUCUUGCCCAAACUUUUCUUGCCUUUUUUUUUUUUUUUUUCUAAGUUAAGCAAAGAGAUUAUGUUCCUCAUUCAUGGAGGUUACUCAAAGCCCUGGCUGGAAACAGUACAUAGUGAGACAGAACACGAGAGGAGGAGGGGCAGAGAGAGAAGGAGACAGAGAAUCUGAUGCAGGCUCCAGGCUCUGAGCAAGCGUUCAUCACAGAGCCCAAUGGGGGGCUCAAACCCAUCAUGACCUGAACUGAAGCUGGACUCCUAACCGACUGAGCCACCCAGGAAGCCACAACUCUCAGCCUCCCAAAUGGGGAAGAGGAGCUGUGGGGUGUAGGACUGGCUUCCUAUUUCCACUGAGCCACAGCAAUGAAACUCAGAGCCUGGGGAGUGUUUCUCCAAGCGAGUGAGGGCUGAAGGACGGGAGGAGCCACAGCCCCUGGUCCCACAACUGAACAGAAACCCCACCACUGGCAAGGCAACCAGCGGCCAGUGGUUUUCUCUCCUUGGGGUUGGGCAGAGAAGCCUAAGAAGCCACCAAAGGCCGGAGAGGAGGAGCCCCACCUCUGUGUUCUCUGAGCAGUUCUGCUUUUAUCUCUCUUAGUUAUCGCUGUUCCAUUUUAAGCUUCAUUUGAAUAAAGAGUUUUGCUGCUAUGUAUGAAUACUCACACACACACACACACUCUCACACACGCUAGACUUUUUUUUUUUUUUUUUAACUAGACCUUUUCCUUUUAGCUUCCCUUACUUUCCCUGCUGGACAGAUAUACAAAAAUGAGGGGCUCACAUUUGGAUCAAUUCAUGCCCUGUAAGGCCAAGGACAAUUGGUGUGCCCUGAGAGGAGAAUAAGGAGAGAGUAUUUAGAGAGAGCCACAGCUUCUGGG
This is a long non-coding RNA of Panthera uncia (snow leopard), 987 nucleotides long. RefSeq lists it as uncharacterized. The transcript has 3 exons. The record is from RefSeq and is a predicted model, not a curated record. NCBI's taxonomy places the organism in Eukaryota, Metazoa, Chordata, Mammalia, Carnivora, Felidae.